ACCUGAUCAGCCAUGCCGCGUGUGUGAAGAAGGCCUUUUGGUUGUAAAGCACUUUAAGCAGUGAAGAAGACUCCAUGGGUUAAUACCCAUGGACGAUGACAUUAGCUGCAGAAUAAGCACCGGCUAACUCUGUGCCAGCAGCCGCGGUAAUACAGAGGGUGCAAGCGUUAAUCGGAAUUACUGGGCGUAAAGCGAGCGUAGGUGGCUUAAUAAGUCAGAUGUGAAAGCCCCGGGCUUAACCUGGGAACGGCAUCUGAUACUGUUAGGCUAGAGUAGGUGAGAGGAAGGUAGAAUUCCAGGUGUAGCGGUGAAAUGCGUAGAGAUCUGGAGGAAUACCGAUGGCGAAGGCAGCCUUCUGGCAUCAUACUGACACUGAGGUUCGAAAGCGUGGGUAGCAAACAGGAUUAGAUACCCUGGUAGUCCACGCCGUAAACGAUGUCUACUAGUCGUUGGGUCCCUUGAGGACUUAGUGACGCAGCUAACGCAAUAAGUAGACCGCCUGGGGAGUACGGCCGCAAGGUUAAAACUCAAAUGAAUUGACGGGGGCCCGCACAAGCGGUGGAGCAUGUGGUUUAAUUCGAUGCAACGCGAAGAACCUUACCUGGUCUUGACAUAUCUAGAAUCCUGCAGAGAUGCGGGAGUGCCUUCGGGAAUUAGAAUACAGGUGCUGCAUGGCUGUCGUCAGCUCGUGUCGUGAGAUGUUGGGUUAAGUCCCGCAACGAGCGCAACCCUUGUCCUUAGUUACCAGCGGUUUGGCCGGGAACUCUAAGGAUACUGCCAGUGACAAACUGGAGGAAGGCGGGGACGACGUCAAGUCAUCAUGGCCCUUACGACCAGGGCUACACACGUGCUACAAUGGUAGGUACAGAGGGCAGCUACACAGCGAUGUGAUGCGAAUCUCAAAAAGCCUAUCGUAGUCCAGAUUGGAGUCUGCAACUCGACUCCAUGAAGUAGGAAUCGCUAGUAAUCGCGGAUCAAAAUGCCGCGGUGAAUACGUUCCCGGGCCUUGUACACACCGCCCGUCACACCAUGGGGAGUUGAUUGCACCAGAAGUGGUUAGCCUAACCUUUUAGGAAGGCGAUCACCACGGGGUGGUUGAUGACUGGGUGAAUCGUAA
RNAcentral lists this ribosomal RNA (1117 nucleotides) under Psychrobacter sp. 8315M. RNAcentral's name for it is "bacterial SSU rRNA". It matches the Rfam family "Bacterial small subunit ribosomal RNA", at positions 381 to 1491 of the family's 1533-position model. Lineage: Bacteria; Pseudomonadati; Pseudomonadota; Gammaproteobacteria; Moraxellales; Moraxellaceae. The record is from RNAcentral.